CCAUAAGUAUUGAUGCAUUAAAAUUAGCAAAAAUUAUAACAAACUAUACAAAAAAAGUGUAAAUAAAUCAUGAAUGUAACUAGCAAUUAAAGAACAUUGAAAUAUACUAAACAAAGAAUGAAAGAUCAAAAUAAUCUACUAAUAGAUAUAGACACAAUCAAGCCUACAUCAUAAUAGAAUUACAGACAAAUUACUAAUAGAUCCAUAUCAUUCCCUUGGCUCUGACAAGAUCCACAACAAUUGGUUCCUUCUUUCACUACUAUCUUCCCUGAAAAUAGCCAGCAUCCAUCCAUAAAUUAAAUCCAAAAAGUAUUGACUAUUUGUAAUAACUAUAUGCAUGGAAACAAAAAUGAAUCUAUGUUCCUCAAUUCAUUACUGAAAACUUGACAGUAAGCUUUUCUAAUUUCAAAACCCGACUUGAGCCUCAAAUGAAGCCUAAUUUAAAUACAUUUAAACACAUUUACGUGAAUCAUUGAGAAACAUAUACUCCAUAUCCUACAUAUGUCAGAACUUAUGGCUAAACAAUAGUCACUAAAUAUUUGUAGAAUCAUAUAUUAAGUGUGUGUGUGGGGGGGGGGGGGGGGG
RNAcentral lists this long non-coding RNA (585 nucleotides) under Trifolium pratense (red clover). Its description in RNAcentral is "long non-coding RNA (TPRA_LNC010092)". Lineage: Eukaryota; Viridiplantae; Streptophyta; Magnoliopsida; Fabales; Fabaceae. The record is from RNAcentral.